This 997-nucleotide long non-coding RNA is filed under the name Ursus maritimus (polar bear). RNAcentral describes it as "lncRNA (ENSUMAG00000000670.1)". The record is from RNAcentral. Lineage: Eukaryota; Metazoa; Chordata; Mammalia; Carnivora; Ursidae.
GCCCUUGUGGCCUCCCGCGCCGGGCUCCCUCCUGCGCCCCACCACCUCCGGCAUCCUCUCUACCUCCAGUGCCCAGGUUCCCUGCGGAGCAGAGCGCGCGCUCCCCUUAGCGGGGAGGAGACCUCGGCGUCCUCCAGACUCCCGAGCGCCUCGGACAGUCUGUCCGCAGGGCUUGGAGGACUUUGGCUGCGAGGUUGUUUCUCGGAUCCGGCAGCCUUGCAGAGUGUGUGUAAAACCCUUCCCCCGUCAAGAGGGGACCCAGCCAGCCCGCGCCCUGCCAGCUCGGGGGAUCGGAGGCGGGUGUGAGUGGUUAGAGGAAACUUUCCAGCAGAGCGCCUUGCCCGAGCAAACCGCGCAUCUGUCAAGAACGCUCUCUGGGCGCUCUUGCAAGGAGCUUCUGUUGUUCCAGUGCGGUAGACGCAGAAAGGAAGCGAAGGUUUGUGCAUCUGACAGCUAACGCUGAGGACCAGUUGGAAAAUCACACACUCCUCAGCCCCAGCUAAUGAAUAUCACCACCAGCACCACCAGCCCAACUACAGAUCACGGCAUAAAGCAGAAAAAUCUUCAUUCUGUGCAAAACCAAGGGUGGCAAAGAAGGCAGCUUCCAAUCAGUGGAAAUGGAAUAAUUGAAUAAAUGUGUUCUUUUUUAAAAGCGAGAGGAUGUAGUAAAGAAUCUAAUUUGGACAGAUGACAAGGAGAAUGACUUCUCAUAGUUCAACGCUAAAGAUGACCCCCCAAAUAAGUAGCACCCAGACACUGGUGAGAACAGUCACCUUUCUUGUAGGAUUACAGCUGGCCACAAAGUCACGAGUGCCACCGGCUGAAUGUGGUCAGAUCAAGUUCCCGUGUGUGCUGAUUCCUCAGUCGUUAAGCAGAUCUUUACUGAGCCGUCCUACGCACUCUUCGAAAGCAGUGAGAGCCCCAGAUUUUCCAGUUCAGCUUCGAGUCUGACACAGAAUCAAAUAAAGCCUGGAGCACUGUAGGGCUGAGAAAAGUG